This 378-nucleotide unclassified non-coding RNA is filed under the name uncultured bacterium. RNAcentral describes it as "contains 16S-23S intergenic spacer region". The record is from RNAcentral.
UCUCGGCUUAUCACCGGCAGUCCCCCUAGAGUGCCCAACUGAAUGAUGGCAACUAAGGGCGAGGGUUGCGCUCGUUGCGGGACUUAACCCAACAUCUCACGACACGAGCUGACGACAGCCAUGCAGCACCUGUCACUUGGCUCAAUAAAGCACUCACUACUUUCGUAGUAAUUCCAAGGAUGUCAAGCCCUGGUAAGGUUCUUCGUUUAUCAUCGAAUUAAAGAACAUAAUCCACCGCUUGUGCGGGUCCCCGUCAAUUCCUUUAUGUUUUAGUCUUGCGACCGUACUCCACAGGCGGGAUACUUAACGCGUUAGCUUCGCUACUGAAGGGGUCGAUACCUCCAACAGCUAGUGCCCAACGUUUACGGCAUGGACUAC